AUGCGUCGCCUCCACUACACCAUCACCAUCCUACUCUCCGCCACCUGCCUCCUUCACGCCAUGGGGUCGCCAGCACUGCCUGACCCGGCGUCGCUCGAGCCGUCCCUGCUCUUCCCGUCGGCCGGCGCCUCCCAGGCUCAACCCGCCGCGGCAUCCACCAUCCCGGCAUUCCCCGAGCAGUCCGAGGCCGCGGCCACGUCCUCCGUCUGCCAGCUCACUCCCUCCCCGCCGCUCCUCCCGGCCGUCCUGGCCUCCUGCAACGCCGGCAGCGCCGGUGGCGGCGUCCUCCCGCCGCGGCUGCGGUGCUGCCCGGCCCUGGCCGCGUGGCUGUACGCCGCGUACGCGCCCACCGCGUUGGGGAGCGACGGCAGCAGGUGGUCGAAGCUUCCCGCCGCGGCGGCGGACGUGACGGACCUGCCGCUGCUGCCGGACGACGUGGAGGAGUGCGCGGGCGCCGCGGAGCGCGCGCUGAGGUCCGCGGGAGCGACGCUGCCGCAGCCGCAGGCGGGGAGCAAUAAUGGGACGACGUGCGACGUGCCCUUCUGCUACUGCGGGAUAAGACUGAGGCGGCCGGUCUGCGCGCUGCCGGCGGGCAGGGCUGCGAGGAGGCUGGAGAGGGACUGCGCGCGGCCGGGGCUCGCCGGCUGCUCCCGGUGCCUCCGGGCGCUGAACCUGCUGAACGCCAUUGGAGAGAAGAACGCCACGUCGGGGAAGGCCAAUCAUGGGGCGAAGCCACGUGAGCGUGACUGCCAGCUCAUGGGGCUGACGUGGCUGCUGCAGCGGAACGCCAUGCGGCAUCGGGCGGCUGCUACGGCGGUCCUCCAGGCUCUCAUGGCGGCCGAGGAGGCGGGCGCUACCAGCGCGCCCGCCACGUGCUCGCUCCCCGUGGACGGCCUGCCGCUUGCCGUCGCAUCGUCGGAGAUCAAUGGCGCCGCCGAUGCGUCCCCCUUGGGCAGCCUGCUUCUUCGCUUUCUGCUGGGGACGUCUGCCUUCAUCUUGUCCCGGCGGUUCUGA
RNAcentral lists this ribosomal RNA (1014 nucleotides) under Triticum aestivum (bread wheat). Its description in RNAcentral is "partial small subunit ribosomal RNA". Lineage: Eukaryota; Viridiplantae; Streptophyta; Magnoliopsida; Poales; Poaceae. The record is from RNAcentral.